Neltuma alba is the source of this 384-nucleotide long non-coding RNA. RefSeq lists it as uncharacterized. The record is from RefSeq and is a predicted model, not a curated record. The transcript has 3 exons. NCBI's taxonomy places the organism in Eukaryota, Viridiplantae, Streptophyta, Magnoliopsida, Fabales, Fabaceae.
CCGAACAGCAUAUGGAGGAGGAGAAGAAGAUAAAAUUCAAGUGAUUCCAUGGUCAUCCAAGCUUCAAAUCAAGGACCUUGGAACAUCCAAGGGGAUGUCUUGUUUAUGUCAACCGAAGGCUCAAAUACUUGGAAGGUUAGGGGAAGCAAACGGAAAGCAAGAGGGAAGAUAUGUUACAAGGUAUAAAGGGCAUGGAGGAAAAGUCAAGGAUGAGGAAUGCAGGAUUGAUGGAAGGAGUCAAGAACAUGUUAUGGUCUUAUAACAUGUUAUGUAACAUAGUUUAUCAAUUUAUGUUUGAUAUGCCAUGUAUGUGGAAUGAUGAUAUUAAAUGUCAUGAUAUCUAAAAUGGUAUGAGAUUAUGUAUGGAGAUAUUAUGUGGAUUUA